Long non-coding RNA from Homo sapiens (human), 428 nucleotides. The record is from Ensembl. NCBI's taxonomy places the organism in Eukaryota, Metazoa, Chordata, Mammalia, Primates, Hominidae.
CACCGCUUUGCUCCCCCAGGAACACCAGCUUGAAUUUCCUCAGCGGAUUCCCGAAGUCUCCGCCCGUGGACAUUGUGGAACUAGAGGAGCGGCCGCCGCCUCAGCCUAGAGACCUCCCGGACCGAUGCUGCUCCAGCCAGCUGACGAAAAAGGCGAGCGGAAGGGCGGCCGCCGCCGCCUCCCGGCAGAGUAGCCUAGCACCGAGCGAGGCCCGCGGCUGGGAAGGGAAGGAGGGCGGUGUCGGCAGGAGCCAGGGGUGUCCUCUGGCUUCCCAAAGCUAGGGCCGUUCCCUCCUUCCGCACUCGGCUCCCAGACCUGGGGAAGAGAAGCUGAGGGUGGCGGAGCCGGAACCGCAGACGUAUCUGGGACCUCUCACGCGCAGCGCCUGAGCUUCCACAGCUGCCGCCGCCGCCGCAGCCCAACCUGCU